Molecule: non-coding RNA, 46 nt
Organism: Aedes aegypti (yellow fever mosquito)
Lineage: Eukaryota; Metazoa; Arthropoda; Insecta; Diptera; Culicidae
Source: Rfam
CAAUCGACCCUUUUCAGGGCCACCAAGAGUUUGCUUAUGAAUUAUU